Molecule: ribosomal RNA, 253 nt
Filed under: uncultured bacterium
Lineage: Bacteria
Description: partial 16S ribosomal RNA
Rfam family: Bacterial small subunit ribosomal RNA
Source: RNAcentral
UACGAGGGGAGCAAGCGUUGUUCGGAUUUACUGGGCGUAAAGGGCGCGCAGGCGGCGUGACAAGUCACUUGUGAAAUCUCCGGGCUUAACUCGGAACGGUCAAGUGAUACUGUCGUGCUAGAGUACAGAAGGGGCAACUGGAAUUCUCGGUGUAGCGGUGAAAUGCGUAGAUAUCGAGAGGAACACCUGCGGCGAAGGCGGGUUGCUGGGCUGAUACUGACGCUGAGGCGCGAAAGCCAGGGGAGCGAACGGG